CCUACGGGAGGCAGCAGUGAGGAAUAUUGGUCAAUGGGCGGAAGCCUGAACCAGCCAAGUAGCGUGAGGGAUGAAGGUACAGAGUAUCGUAAACCUCUUUUGUCAGGGAACAAAGGCGGGGACGUGUCCCCGGAUGAGUGUACCUGAAGAAAAAGCAUCGGCUAACUCCGUGCCAGCAGCCGCGGUAAUACGGAGGAUGCGAGCGUUAUCCGGAUUUAUUGGGUUUAAAGGGUGCGCAGGCGGUCUGUUAAGUCAGCGGUCAAAGCCCGGGGCUCAACCCCGGCCCGCCGUUGAAACUGGCAGUCUCGAGUUGGAGAGAAGUAUGCGGAAUGCGCGGUGUAGCGGUGAAAUGCAUAGAUAUCGCGCAGAACUCCGAUUGCGAAGGCAGCAUGCCGGCUCCACACUGACGCUGAGGCACGAAAGCGUGGGUAUCGAACAGGAUUAGAUACCCUGGUAGUC
RNAcentral lists this ribosomal RNA (459 nucleotides) under uncultured bacterium. RNAcentral describes it as "partial 16S ribosomal RNA". It matches the Rfam family "Bacterial small subunit ribosomal RNA", at positions 338 to 795 of the family's 1533-position model. The record is from RNAcentral.